Molecule: ribosomal RNA, 574 nt
Filed under: Notropis photogenis (silver shiner)
Lineage: Eukaryota; Metazoa; Chordata; Actinopteri; Cypriniformes; Leuciscidae
Description: partial large subunit ribosomal RNA
Rfam family: Bacterial large subunit ribosomal RNA
Source: RNAcentral
CGCCUCCUGCAACAUAGAGUAUAGGAGGUCCAGCCUGCCCAGUGACUACGGGUUCAACGGCCGCGGUAUAUUGACCGUGCAAAGGUAGCGCAAUCACUUGUCUUUUAAAUAGAGACCUGUAUGAAUGGCUAGACGAGGGCUUAACUGUCUCCCCCUUCCAGUCAGUGAAAUUGAUCUAUCCGUGCAGAAGCGGGUAUAAAACUACAAGACGAGAAGACCCUUUGGAGCUUAAGGUACAAAAUUCAGCCACGUUAAGCAACUCCGUACAAAGUAGGAACUUAGUGACCAUGAAGUUUUACCUUCGGUUGGGGCGACCACGGAGGAAAAGCAAGCCUCCGAGUGGAGUGGGCCGAGAUCCCUAAAGCCAAGAGAGACAUCUUUAAGCCGCAGAACAUCUGACCAAUAAUGAUCCGGCUAAGAAGCCGAUCAACGGACCAAGUUACCCUAGGGAUAACAGCGCAAUCCUCUCCCAGAGCCCAUAUCGACGAGGGGGUUUACGACCUCGAUGUUGGAUCAGGACAUCCUGGUGGUGCAGCCGCUAUUAAGGGUUCGUUUGUUCAACGAUUAAAGUCCU